RNAcentral lists this unclassified non-coding RNA (762 nucleotides) under Hevea brasiliensis (rubber tree). The record is from RNAcentral. Lineage: Eukaryota; Viridiplantae; Streptophyta; Magnoliopsida; Malpighiales; Euphorbiaceae.
GUUGGGAUUACUUUCGUCACCAACCCUGAUAAUGAAUUCUCAUCCAACCUUUGAUUUUAAAAUUAAAAUCAAUAAUAAGACUUUGUAGCGACUCUACUUUGAGGGUGUGAUGCCCGAUGCCUCUUAACAUAGGCUUUGAUUCACCUGUGGUCAGAUGACAGAUUUAAUGAGGUCUAGAGAGCAUCAUUGCCACUACAUGUUCACUAUUGCUCACCAAUCCUGAAGGGCCCAAUUUAAGGUGCCUACCUUUUUUGGCCCCCAUCAGUUUUAAGGAACAACCUUAAAGGAAAAAACUCAUUCCUACUGCAGAUCCUCAACCAUUAAUCUAAUAAGUUUGUCUCUAUAAAAAAUCCACACUUCCCUAAACUUGCUUUCCAUGCUCAUCUUUUGAUAUCCACUCCUUAAACAGACGAGAGAUCCAGGAAUUUGAUUCCACGAGUUUCAAAUAUACACACAAAAUCAACUCAUAACACAAUGCCUCUAUUAACCAUUGGUAAUCACACAAAAAGUCUUGCAAAUGCAAUUGUCAGACAGGCUUCUCACCAGGAAGGUAAGAAGGAGAUCCACCUUCAAUUUGGUUCUUCUUACGCUGGAAGAUGCCACUGAGAUUAGGCAGAAGUACUUUCUUGGAAACAGAAGUCUUCUCCUUCUCCAACUUCCGGACCUCAAUAACUUUCUGUGGUGCUGGGUUCUGCUUUUGAAUCCUAUAAUGGUGAGGAGAUGAUUCUAAUGGCAUCUGUGUCUCUGCUAGAAUCCUUGAUG